UUUCAGUGGACUGAAACGAUUUCAGUUCUACUCUUAGGAUUCACUGAUCACCAAGUGAAUGCCUUCGAGUCUCACAAUCCACUAGUGACACCUAGCAGUAUGUGGUGGCAACCCAGCAGAAUGGAAUGUCUGAACCUCUAGGUGCAGUUAGCGUAUGAUACAGUCCCUCUAUCAUGGAUCCUGACGUGACGGAGGUUAUGGAUAUCUCGUCAAACCCCAUCGUCUGUCAUAUGUCAAAUUUAUACGACUUCCAGUUCGAGAUAUGGAAAACUCUUUUUCCAAAAUACCUGGC
This 292-nucleotide long non-coding RNA is filed under the name Phoenix dactylifera (date palm). RNAcentral describes it as "long non-coding RNA (PDAC_LNC015085)". Lineage: Eukaryota; Viridiplantae; Streptophyta; Magnoliopsida; Arecales; Arecaceae. The record is from RNAcentral.